This 216-nucleotide ribosomal RNA is filed under the name Glomeromycotina sp. RNAcentral's name for it is "partial small subunit ribosomal RNA". The stretch from base 40 to 216 matches the Rfam family "Eukaryotic small subunit ribosomal RNA", at positions 686 to 864 of the family's 1831-position model. The record is from RNAcentral. Lineage: Eukaryota; Fungi; Glomeromycota.
GGGUCAGUAGGUUGGUCGUGCCACCGGUACGUACUGGUCUCACUGAUUCCUCCUUCCUGAAGAACCGUAAUGCCAUUAAUUUGGUGUUGCGGGGAAACAGGACUGUUACUUUGAAAAAAUUAUAGUGUUUAAAGCAAGCUAACGCUUGAAUACAUUGGCAUGGAAUAAUGAAAUAGGACGAUCGAUCCUAUUUUGUUGGUUUCUAGGAUUGACGUA